This 253-nucleotide ribosomal RNA is filed under the name uncultured bacterium. RNAcentral describes it as "partial 16S ribosomal RNA". It matches the Rfam family "Bacterial small subunit ribosomal RNA", at positions 524 to 776 of the family's 1533-position model. The record is from RNAcentral.
UACGUAGGGGGCUAGCGUUGUCCGGAAUCAUUGGGCGUAAAGAGCGUGUAGGCGGCCCGGUAAGUCCGCUGUGAAAGUCGGGGGCUCAACCCUCGAAUGCCGGUGGAUACUGUCGGGCUAGAGUGCGGAAGAGGCGAGUGGAAUUCCUGGUGUAGCGGUGAAAUGCGCAGAUAUCAGGAGGAACACCGAUUGCGAAGGCAGCUCGCUGGAACGUUACUGACGCUGAGACGCGAAAGCGUGGGGAGCAAACAGG